Molecule: long non-coding RNA, 407 nt
Filed under: Equus asinus (donkey)
Lineage: Eukaryota; Metazoa; Chordata; Mammalia; Perissodactyla; Equidae
Description: lncRNA (ENSEASG00005031922.1)
Source: RNAcentral
UGGACAUCUCAUGGAGUAGGACUCUCUUAUUCAUCUCUGCAUUCCCAUGGCUUCGUGCUACGUAUGUUAGGUGCUCAUUGGUUGAUGAGAUGAAUUUAAUGCUCAGAGAGGGGAAGGAGAGACACAAACUCAUAUAGAUGAAGAGAAAUACUCAUCUUUUCAGAAUGAGCAAUUGGGAGGAAAAUUUCCAGAGAGUUUAUUUCCUGGCGGAGAUUGGUGAAAUGUUUGGGAAAACGUGGAUUUCUCUGUGAGGGUCCUCAGCUGACCUCCAAAAACUGUAAACUCCUUCAGCGAAGAUUCCACUUUCUGAACGGUGCUGAGCCCAAUGCUGGGACUGCCUAUUGGCAGAUCCAAAUGGAGGCAUAACACAGGUUUUAGCCUCACAAAUCCGAAUAUGGGGAUCAAUC